RNAcentral lists this ribosomal RNA (524 nucleotides) under uncultured bacterium. Its description in RNAcentral is "bacterial SSU rRNA". It matches the Rfam family "Bacterial small subunit ribosomal RNA", at positions 355 to 874 of the family's 1533-position model. The record is from RNAcentral.
CUAAGAAUAUUCCGCAAUGGACGAAAGUCUGACGGAGCGACGCCGCGUGGAUGAGGAAGGCCGAAAGGUUGUAAAAUCCUUUUGUGGAUGAAGAAUAAGUAGGGCAGGGAAUGGCCUUAUGAUGACGCUAGUCCGCGAAUAAGCCCCGGCUAAUUACGUGCCAGCAGCCGCGGUAACACGUAAGGGGCAAGCGUUGUUCGGAAUUAUUGGGCGUAAAGGGCGCGUAGGCGGUCAUGUAAGUCUGAUGUGAAAUGUCCGGGCUCAACCCGGGAACUGCAUUGGAAACUGUAUGGCUAGAAUCACGGAGGGGCAGCCGGAAUUCCUGGUGUAGGGGUGAAAUCUGUAGAUAUCAGGAAGAACACCGGUGGCGAAGGCGGGCUGCCAGCCGAUGAUUGACGCUGAGGCGCGAAAGUGCGGGGAGCAAACAGGAUUAGAUACCCUGGUAGUCCGCACCAUAAACGAUGCACACUAGAUGUCGGGCCGAGCGGUUCGGUGUCGGAGCGCACGCGAUAAGUGUGCCGCCU